RNAcentral lists this ribosomal RNA (253 nucleotides) under uncultured bacterium. RNAcentral's name for it is "partial 16S ribosomal RNA". It matches the Rfam family "Bacterial small subunit ribosomal RNA", at positions 524 to 776 of the family's 1533-position model. The record is from RNAcentral.
UACGUGGGGUGCGAGCGUUAAUCGGAAUUACUGGGCGUAAAGCGUGCGCAGGCGGUGAUGUAAGACAGAUGUGAAAUCCCCGGGCUCAACCUGGGAACUGCAUUUGUGACUGCAUCGCUUGAGUGCGGGAGAGGGGGAUGGAAUUCCGCGUGUAGCAGUGAAAUGCGUAGAUAUGCGGAGGAACACCGAUGGCGAAGGCAAUCCCCUGGGCCCGCACUGACGCUCAUGCACGAAAGCGUGGGGAGCAAACAGG